This 181-nucleotide long non-coding RNA is filed under the name Penaeus japonicus. RNAcentral describes it as "uncharacterized LOC122245420". The record is from RNAcentral. Lineage: Eukaryota; Metazoa; Arthropoda; Malacostraca; Decapoda; Penaeidae.
AUCAUGGACUAUUCUUGUAACAGAAUUUAAAGGUUCACUGUACAUGGUAAACUGGAAACCUGAAGAUGUAGCUGGAGAAAAAAGUGAAAUACCUAAGAAUAUAGGAUUCUGGGGACACAAGUUUGAGCAGUAUAUGAAAGCAGAUCCAGAAGACCCUCUGGAUGCCAAUGAGGAGUAUCAG